AUGUGGGAGGAAUGCUUGCCUCAUAUUGAAUUUGCUUAUAAUCGUUCAAUGCAUUCUACUACUAAGAUGUGCCCUUUUGAAGUUGUGUAUGGUUUCCUACCUCGUGCACCUAUUGAUUUGUUGCCUCUUCCAUCUUCGGAGAAGGUUAAUUUUGAUGCUAAACAACGUGCUGAAUUGAUUUUAAAAAUGCAUGAGUUAACUAAGGAAAACAUUGAGCGCAUGAAUGCUAAAUAUAAACUUGCUGGAGAUAAGGGUAGAAAACAUGUUGUGUUUGCACCUGGAGAUCUUGUUUGGUUACAUUUGCGUAAGGAUAGAUUUCCUGAUUUGCGCAAAUCAAAGUUAAUGCCACGUGCUGAUGGUCCCUUUAAGGUGUUAGAGAAAAUAAAUGAUAAUGCAUAUAAACUUGAGCUGCCUGCAGAUUUUGGGGUCAGUCCCACUUUUAACAUUGCAGAUUUGAAGCCUUAUUUGGGUGAGGAAGAUGAACUUCCGUCGAGGACGACUUCAUUUCAAGAAGGGGAGGAUGAUGAGGACAUCAAUACAAUUGUUACACCCACAGCCCCUGCUGCUAUACAUACUGGACCAAUUACUAGAGCUCGUGCACGCCAACUAAAUUACCAGGAAACAGACCCUCGUGGUCAGGUUGAUCGUGCUCCGGCGUGGUCAAUAACCUCUCGGAGUUGGUUUAGCGAUUGCUAA
Molecule: ribosomal RNA, 696 nt
Filed under: Triticum aestivum (bread wheat)
Lineage: Eukaryota; Viridiplantae; Streptophyta; Magnoliopsida; Poales; Poaceae
Description: partial small subunit ribosomal RNA
Source: RNAcentral